This 296-nucleotide unclassified non-coding RNA is filed under the name Nosema bombycis. RNAcentral describes it as "intergenic spacer". The record is from RNAcentral. Lineage: Eukaryota; Fungi; Microsporidia; Nosematidae.
GCAGGAUCAUAAAUAAAAAAUGAUGGGAUUAUUAUAAUGAAAGUGUAUGCUGACAUUAUAAUAAUCUUGUCUAUGUUCUAAAUACAAAAUACCUUCACGAGGUUUAGAAUGAGUGAUAUAAGGAAGUUAUAUUAGCUAAAUUUGUGUAUGUGGUAAAGGAGUUGAUUGAUUAUAAAAAGCUUGUGUAGUUAGGUGUAGAGAGUUAAUAUUUAGAGAUGUAAUCUAAGUGGUUUUGAGAAGUUUUUAUGUUCAUAAAAUCAAGUAGGUAUACUUGUAACAACACACUUAUUUCAACA